UUAUUCUUCCAAGAAAAGCUUGAAUCAUUUAUACAUAAGAAAAUCUGUACCCGAAACUGGCACAAGUAGGUAGGUAUAUUAUACUAAGGGGCUCGAGAGACUUCUCUCUAAGGAACUCGGCAAAAUGACUCCGUAACUUUGGGAUAAGGAGUGCCUCUUUUCAAGAAGAGGUUGCAGUGAAUAGGCCCAGGCGACUGUUUACCAAAAACACAG
This 213-nucleotide ribosomal RNA is filed under the name Rhizochromulina marina. RNAcentral's name for it is "partial Bacterial large subunit ribosomal RNA". It matches the Rfam family "Bacterial large subunit ribosomal RNA", at positions 1600 to 1818 of the family's 2925-position model. The record is from RNAcentral. Lineage: Eukaryota; Dictyochophyceae; Rhizochromulinales.